Molecule: long non-coding RNA, 1150 nt
Organism: Oreochromis niloticus (Nile tilapia)
Lineage: Eukaryota; Metazoa; Chordata; Actinopteri; Cichliformes; Cichlidae
Exons: 5
Source: RefSeq, a predicted model, not a curated record
AAAGACAUGAGUGUGUUUCAGUUGCCUUCCUCAUGUGGUAGGACCAACAACUCUAGUGUGGGUUACACUGUCCUCAUAUUGUUGGUAGCAGAACUGUACAGUGUUAAGUUUCUAUAGAAUCUGGUAUAAGGAAGUGAGAUCCUUCUGUAAUAAUGUUCACUGAUACAAAUAUGAUCUGUAGUUAAUUAUCUAGUCGGGAUUUAUACUAGAGAAUGUUUCUGACGUUAUAUUGUUGUCUUUUGUUGCAGACACCAAGUGCUGAGGUCCUGUCUCAGCCUCAUACAGACCAAUUGACACCAAGUGCUGAGGUCCUGCCUCAGCCUCAUACAGACCAAUUGGCUCAAGGACCAAGUAUUCUGGGGAUCCAAGCCACAAGCUUUACUCAGCUGCCCUGAACAACAUGAAGGGCACCUCUGCCUCAAUCACCCUGGACAACAAAAACAUUAGCAACACUUCACCAAGAAGGGGCAAAGGCACCCAAAUACAAAAUGUUUUAGCAGAACACAGCACUUCAAAUGGUUCAUUCCAAGCAUCCUUAAAGGAGCGAUAAGCAAUAUCUUUUCACUGCUAGGUGUGCUGUUUUGCACUGCCUGUAAACCAAACCAAAGUCUAUGGCUGGAGAUCAACACAGAGAGAGGGAUUGUGACUUCAUGCUGUACUCCAGAUCUGGGAAGGUGAGAAGCAAGUGGACAAAUGAUGAAGUAAAGGUUGCUGCUAAGUACCAGGUAAAAAGGAAUGUGACUGCUGCUUCCAAGCAGAGCCGGCAGCUCGGAAAGGCAGAGACUGGGUUGCCAUAAAGUACUACAUCCACAACAGGAUCAUAGCAUUAAAAGAAAGAUGCAAGAAAAAAAGAAACAAGCAAGAGAGAUACUUUGUUGCUUCCACAGUUAUGUCAGUAUUGUAGUUUUCUGUAUUGCAUUGUUCUUACUCAUAAAUCUGUGGUUUAUGCUGGGUGCUUUUUGCAAUUAAAUGAUAAGAAAGGCAGAUAAUGUUCCACGUUUUUAUUCACAUGAACAUUCACUACAAAAUGAAUUAAUGCAUUACAAUAUUAAGACUUAAAAAGUAGACUGACCACAUUUGACCUAUGUCUUUUUUAAAGUCUCUACACAGCUCAUAUUUACUGUUUUAUUAACACAUAAAUGUCUGAUAU